This 792-nucleotide ribosomal RNA is filed under the name uncultured bacterium. RNAcentral's name for it is "bacterial SSU rRNA". It matches the Rfam family "Bacterial small subunit ribosomal RNA", at positions 63 to 848 of the family's 1533-position model. The record is from RNAcentral.
CGAGGGGCAGCAGCUUUAUAGCAAUAUAGAGGCUGGCGACCGGCAAACGGGUGCGGAACACGUACACAACCUUCCUUUAAGAGGGGGAUAGCCCAUAGAAAUGUGGAUUAAUACCCCGUAAUAUUAUUGAAGUGGCAUCACUUUAUAAUUAUAGUUACGACGCUUGAAGAUGGGUGUGCGGCUGAUUAGGUAGUUGGCGGGGUAAAGGCCCACCAAGCCUUCGAUCAGUAGCUGAUGUGAGAGCAUGAUCAGCCACACGGGCACUGAGACACGGGCCCGACUCCUACGGGAGGCAGCAGUAAGGAAUAUUGGUCAAUGGACGCAAGUCUGAACCAGCCAUGCCGCGUGAAGGAUGAAGGUCCUCUGGAUUGUAAACUUCUUUUAUAGGGGGCGAAAAAAGGGAAUUCUUUCUCACUUGACAGUACCCUAUGAAUAAGCACCGGCUAACUCCGUGCCAGCAGCCGCGGUAAUACGGAGGGUGCAAGCGUUAUCCGGAUUCACUGGGUUUAAAGGGUGCGUAGGCGGGUUUAUAAGUCAGUGGUGAAAUCCUGGAGCUUAACUCCAGAACUGCCAUUGAUACUAUGGAUCUUGAAUAUGGUGGAGGUAAGCGGAAUAUGUCAUGUAGCGGUGAAAUGCAUAGAUAUGACAUAGAACACCUAUUGCGAAGGCAGCUUACUACGCCUAUAUUGACGCUGAGGCACGAAAGCGUGGGGAUCAAACAGGAUUAGAUACCCUGGUAGUCCACGCCCUGAACGAUGAUUACUCGACGUAUGCGAUACACAGUAUGCGUCU